UUAGCCUACGGGGGGCAGCAGUCGGGAAUAUUGCGCAAUGGAGGAAACUCUGACGCAGUGACGCCGCGUGCAGGAAGAAGGUUUUCGGAUUGUAAACUGCUUUAGACAGGGAAGAAAAAAGACAGUACCUGUAGAAUAAGCUCCGGCUAACUACGUGCCAGCAGCCGCGGUAAUACGUAGGGGGCAAGCGUUAAUCGGAAUUACUGGGCGUAAAGCGCGCGUAGGCUGUUGUGUAAGUUGGGGGUGAAAUCCCACGGCUCAACCGUGGAACAGCCCUUGAUACUGCGCGACUUGAAUCCGGGAGG
RNAcentral lists this ribosomal RNA (305 nucleotides) under uncultured bacterium. RNAcentral's name for it is "bacterial SSU rRNA". It matches the Rfam family "Bacterial small subunit ribosomal RNA", at positions 334 to 655 of the family's 1533-position model. The record is from RNAcentral.